RNAcentral lists this long non-coding RNA (220 nucleotides) under Elaeis guineensis (African oil palm). RNAcentral describes it as "long non-coding RNA (EGUI_LNC028914)". Lineage: Eukaryota; Viridiplantae; Streptophyta; Magnoliopsida; Arecales; Arecaceae. The record is from RNAcentral.
GCAUCAAAAUGGUAUAAUCGUCUGUUUGUAUAUAAAAAAAAAAUAAUCAUCUUUCUUCGUAUAAAUCCACCAUUGGAUCACACCACCAUAGAUUUCAAAGCACUUUGAACUCCAUUGAUCUCAAAGCAAGCGGUGGAUGAUCCAUUGGUGGAUUCUCGCGAAGGAAGGGAAAUCUUCCUUUUGUGCGAAAGAUACAACUAGUUCCCUAUGAAACGGUUGC